GACGAACGCUGGCGGCGUGCUUAACACAUGCAAGUCGAACGAAGAGCGGUGGAAGCUUGCUUCUAUCAAUCUUAGUGGCGAACGGGUGAGUAACGCGUAAUCAACCUGCCCUUCAGAGGGGGACAACAGUUGGAAACGACUGCUAAUACCGCAUACGAUCUAACCUCGGCAUCGAGGAAAGAUGAAAGGUGGCCUCUAUUUAUAAGCUAUCACUGAAGGAGGGGAUUGCGUCUGAUUAGCUAGUUGGAGGGGUAACGGCCCACCAAGGCGAUGAUCAGUAGCCGGUCUGAGAGGAUGAACGGCCACAUUGGGACUGAGACACGGCCCAGACUCCUACGGGAGGCAGCAGUGGGGAAUCUUCCGCAAUGGACGAAAGUCUGACGGAGCAACGCCGCGUGAGUGAUGACGGCCUUCGGGUUGUAAAGCUCUGUUAAUCGGGACGAAAGGCCUUCUUGCGAAUAGUGAGAAGGAUUGACGGUACCGGAAUAGAAAGCCACGGCUA
This 502-nucleotide ribosomal RNA is filed under the name Veillonella dispar. Its description in RNAcentral is "bacterial SSU rRNA". It matches the Rfam family "Bacterial small subunit ribosomal RNA", at positions 28 to 499 of the family's 1533-position model. Lineage: Bacteria; Bacillati; Bacillota; Negativicutes; Veillonellales; Veillonellaceae. The record is from RNAcentral.